AUCGUUUCUUGGCCUUUUGGCUAAGAUCAAGUGUAGUAUCUGUUCUUAUCAGUUUAAAAAAUAAUAUGUAGUAAUAUAUCUUUUUUUUUUUUUUUGCUUUUUUGGGUCACACCCAGCGAUGCUCAGGGGUUACUCCUGGCUUUGCACUCAGGAAUUACUCCUGGCGGUGCUUGGGGGACCAUAU
This is a small nuclear RNA of Sorex araneus (European shrew), 184 nucleotides long. RefSeq annotates it as U2 spliceosomal RNA. The transcript has a single exon. The record is from RefSeq and is a predicted model, not a curated record. NCBI's taxonomy places the organism in Eukaryota, Metazoa, Chordata, Mammalia, Eulipotyphla, Soricidae.